RNAcentral lists this ribosomal RNA (115 nucleotides) under Bacillus anthracis (anthrax bacterium). RNAcentral also lists the same sequence under 21 other names. The record is from RNAcentral. Lineage: Bacteria; Bacillati; Bacillota; Bacilli; Caryophanales; Bacillaceae.
UGGUAAUGAUGGCAGAGAGGUCACACCCGUUCCCAUACCGAACACGGAAGUUAAGCUCUCUAGCGCCGAUGGUAGUUGGGACCUUGUCCCUGUGAGAGUAGGACGUCGCCAAGCA